RNAcentral lists this ribosomal RNA (264 nucleotides) under uncultured bacterium. RNAcentral's name for it is "partial 16S ribosomal RNA". It matches the Rfam family "Bacterial small subunit ribosomal RNA", at positions 28 to 290 of the family's 1533-position model. The record is from RNAcentral.
GAUGAACGCUGGCGGCGUGCCUAAUACAUGCAAGUCGAACGGAGGAUUUUAUUUCGGUAGAAUUCUCAGUGGCGAACGGGUGGGUAACGCGUUGGUGACCUGCCCCGAAGUGCGGGAUAACGGCUCGAAAGGGCUGCUAAUACCGCAUGUGGUCUAGAGGCCUAGAAUCUCUUUACUAAAGAAGAAAUUCGCUUCGGGAGGGGCCUGCGUCCCAUCAGCUAGUUGGCAGGGUAAUGGCCUACCAAGGCGACGACGGGUAGGGGG